GCAUCCGUAGCUCAGCUGGAUAGAGUACUCGGCUACGAACCGAGCGGAAGGGCGAGCCGCAAGGCGAGUAAUCCUCCCGGAUGCACCA
This 88-nucleotide transfer RNA is filed under the name Escherichia coli. RNAcentral describes it as "tRNA-Arg". Lineage: Bacteria; Pseudomonadati; Pseudomonadota; Gammaproteobacteria; Enterobacterales; Enterobacteriaceae. The record is from RNAcentral.